RNAcentral lists this ribosomal RNA (759 nucleotides) under uncultured Enterobacteriaceae bacterium. RNAcentral describes it as "bacterial SSU rRNA". It matches the Rfam family "Bacterial small subunit ribosomal RNA", at positions 28 to 776 of the family's 1533-position model. Lineage: Bacteria; Pseudomonadati; Pseudomonadota; Gammaproteobacteria; Enterobacterales; Enterobacteriaceae. The record is from RNAcentral.
AUUGAACGCUGGCGGCAGGCCUAACACAUGCAAGUCGAGCGGCAGCGGGAAGUAGCUUGCUACUUUGCCGGCGAGCGGCGGACGGGUGAGUAAUGUCUGGGAAACUGCCUGAUGGAGGGGGAUAACUACUGGAAACGGUAGCUAAUACCGCAUGACCUCGCAAGAGCAAAGUGGGGGACCUUCGGGCCUCACGCCAUCGGAUGUGCCCAGAUGGGAUUAGCUAGUAGGUGAGGUAAUGGCUCACCUAGGCGACGAUCCCUAGCUGGUCUGAGAGGAUGACCAGCCACACUGGAACUGAGACACGGUCCAGACUCCUACGGGAGGCAGCAGUGGGGAAUAUUGCACAAUGGGCGCAAGCCUGAUGCAGCCAUGCCGCGUGUGUGAAGAAGGCCUUCGGGUUGUAAAGCACUUUCAGCGAGGAGGAAGGGUUCAGUGUUAAUAGCACUGUUCAUUGACGUUACUCGCAGAAGAAGCACCGGCUAACUCCGUGCCAGCAGCCGCGGUAAUACGGAGGGUGCAAGCGUUAAUCGGAAUUACUGGGCGUAAAGCGCACGCAGGCGGUUUGUUAAGUCAGAUGUGAAAUCCCCGAGCUUAACUUGGGAACUGCAUUUGAAACUGGCAAGCUAGAGUCUUGUAGAGGGGGGUAGAAUUCCAGGUGUAGCGGUGAAAUGCGUAGAGAUCUGGAGGAAUACCGGUGGCGAAGGCGGCCCCCUGGACAAAGACUGACGCUCAGGUGCGAAAGCGUGGGGAGCAAACAGG